GGUGAAAGGGUGGGGUAAGAGCCCACCGCGCGACUGGCAACAGGAGCGGCACGGCAAACCCCACCGGGAGCAAGACCGAAUAGGGGCGGUGCGAAGGGAAACCUUCGAGGGCUGUUUCCGGCCCACCGUCCGGGUAGGUUGCGUGAGGCGCAUGGCGACAUGCGCCCAAGAUGAAUGGCCGCCACGUUCCCGCGCCGCAAGGCGCGGGGCCAUACAGAACCCGGCUUACAGGCCAGCUGGCAUU
RNAcentral lists this RNase P RNA (244 nucleotides) under Mesorhizobium sp. RNAcentral describes it as "partial RNase P RNA component class A". It matches the Rfam family "Bacterial RNase P class A", at positions 153 to 367 of the family's 367-position model. From Rfam's summary of the family: Ribonuclease P (RNase P) is a ubiquitous endoribonuclease, found in archaea, bacteria and eukarya as well as chloroplasts and mitochondria. Its best characterised activity is the generation of mature 5'-ends of tRNAs by cleaving the 5'-leader elements of precursor-tRNAs. The record is from RNAcentral. Lineage: Bacteria; Pseudomonadati; Pseudomonadota; Alphaproteobacteria; Hyphomicrobiales; Phyllobacteriaceae.